Molecule: long non-coding RNA, 324 nt
Filed under: Bos taurus (domestic cattle)
Lineage: Eukaryota; Metazoa; Chordata; Mammalia; Artiodactyla; Bovidae
Description: long non-coding RNA NONBTAT001091
Source: RNAcentral
CAUAAAUUUUAAAAAUGAGUUAUCUGGUGCAAUUCUAAACCCACCUUUUCACCUACUUACUGUCUAGAAAGUGAAUAGCCAAAUAUCAUUGGAAAAACUAUUGAAUUUUCUUUAAUCUUUCAAAUGUGAUUUUGAUGAUGUUUAUAGUUCCCAUUAUGACAGCUCAAACUGUAUUUUAAAAAGUUAUUGAGACUUUGUAAAUAUAAAGAGGAAUUUAGAAAUCUACUUCUUACCCCUCCAUUCUAACAUAAAACAACUCAAUUCUUUAUGUUCUCAUCCUCUUUACAGAUUGGCCUGAUGAAUCUCACAUACCACGAGCAAAGA